Suncus etruscus (white-toothed pygmy shrew) is the source of this 159-nucleotide small nuclear RNA. RefSeq annotates it as U1 spliceosomal RNA. Lineage: Eukaryota; Metazoa; Chordata; Mammalia; Eulipotyphla; Soricidae. The record is from RefSeq and is a predicted model, not a curated record. The transcript has a single exon.
AAAAUAAAUUAAAAUAAUGUAAAUUUUGAUCACGAAGGUGGUUUCCCCAGGGCGAGGCUUAUCCAUUGCACUCCGGAUGUGCUGACCCCUGCGAUUUCCCCAAAUGUGGGAAACUCAACUGCAUAAUCUGUGAUAGUGGGGGACUGCGUUCGCGCUCUA